Molecule: non-coding RNA, 160 nt
Filed under: Candidatus Omnitrophota bacterium
Lineage: Bacteria; Pseudomonadati; Candidatus Omnitrophota
Description: 6S RNA
Rfam family: 6S / SsrS RNA
About the family: E. coli 6S RNA was the first non coding RNA to be sequenced, but its function was unknown until recently. It consists of 184 nucleotides that fold into an extended hairpin structure with a large single-stranded internal bulge.
Source: RNAcentral
AAAUCCCUGCGGUGCUCGUUGGAAAUUCGAUAAUUGUUGAACCAACACCUUUAUCACGGGAGCCAAAACUUCUUGAUACGCCUUGGCGUCCAAGAGAGGCACCCACCUGAAACCAGAUUUGGUUCAGACUAUCCUUCCGACGGCACAAUGCGGGGAUUUA